This 270-nucleotide ribosomal RNA is filed under the name uncultured archaeon. RNAcentral describes it as "partial 16S ribosomal RNA". It matches the Rfam family "Archaeal small subunit ribosomal RNA", at positions 477 to 747 of the family's 1478-position model. The record is from RNAcentral.
CAGCACCUCAAGUGGUCAGGAUGAUUAUUGGGCCUAAAGCAUCCGUAGCCGGCUCUGUAAGUUUUCGGUUAAAUCUGUACGCUCAACGUACAGGCUGACGGGAAUACUGCAGAGCUAGGGAGUGGGAGAGGUAGACGGUACUCGGUAGGAAGGGGUAAAAUCCUUUGAUCUAUUGAUGACCACCUUUGGCGAAGGCGGUCUACCAGAACACGUCCGACGGUGAGGGAUGAAAGCUGGGGGAGCAAACCGGAUUAGAUACCCGAGUAGUCC